Molecule: ribosomal RNA, 497 nt
Filed under: uncultured bacterium
Lineage: Bacteria
Description: partial 16S ribosomal RNA
Rfam family: Bacterial small subunit ribosomal RNA
Source: RNAcentral
UCUUCCCUCUGGCGGCGUGCCUAAUACAUGCAAGUCGAGCGAACGGACGAGAAGCUUGCUUCUCUGAUGUUAGCGGCGGACGGGUGAGUAACACGUGGAUAACCUACCUAUAAGACUGGGAUAACUUCGGGAAACCGGAGCUAAUACCGGAUAAUAUUUUGAACUGCAUGGUUCAAAAGUGAAAGACGGUAUUGCUGUCACUUAUAGAUGGAUCCGCGCUGCAUUAGCUAGUUGGUAAGGUAACGGCUUACCAAGGCAACGAUGCAUAGCCGACCUGAGAGGGUGAUCGGCCACACUGGAACUGAGACACGGUCCAGACUCCUACGGGAGGCAGCAGUAGGGAAUCUUCCGCAAUGGGCGAAAGCCUGAUGGAGCAACGCCGCGUGAGUGAUGAAGGUCUUCGGAUCGUAAAACUCUGUUAUUAGGGAAGAACAUAAGUGUAAGUAACUGUGCACAUCUUGACGGUACCUAAUCAGAAAGCCACGGCUAACUACGUG